Molecule: transfer RNA, 70 nt
Filed under: Marmota monax (woodchuck)
Lineage: Eukaryota; Metazoa; Chordata; Mammalia; Rodentia; Sciuridae
Description: tRNA.Ala
Rfam family: tRNA
About the family: Transfer RNA (tRNA) molecules are approximately 80 nucleotides in length. Their secondary structure includes four short double-helical elements and three loops (D, anti-codon, and T loops). Further hydrogen bonds mediate the characteristic L-shaped molecular structure. tRNAs have two regions of fundamental functional importance: the anti-codon, which is responsible for specific mRNA codon recognition, and the 3' end, to which the tRNAs corresponding amino acid is attached (by aminoacyl-tRNA synthetases). tRNAs cope with the degeneracy of the genetic code in two manners: having more than one tRNA (with a specific anti-codon) for a particular amino acid; and 'wobble' base-pairing, i.e. permitting non-standard base-pairing at the 3rd anti-codon position.
Source: RNAcentral
GAGUGUUGGCUCAGUGGUAGAGCACUUGCCUGGCAUGUGUGAGGCCCUGGGUUCCAUCCUCAGCACUGCA